This 1451-nucleotide long non-coding RNA is filed under the name Mus musculus (house mouse). RNAcentral describes it as "predicted gene 29052". Lineage: Eukaryota; Metazoa; Chordata; Mammalia; Rodentia; Muridae. The record is from RNAcentral.
AAGGACAAAAUGCCUGGGGGAGCAAUGGGCAUCUUAAACUUAAACGGAGAGGUCCAGAGGGUUUCAGAAUCUAUAAGCACAUCCAUACUCUCAAGUCACUAUAAACUCAGGAGACCAGACACUGGGACAUGGAGGUCAGGACAAGGAAUAAACGGCAUACCAGAGGAGCCCAAAGGAUGGAAGCCAGCUCUACAAAGUGCUUCCAAGAGCCUUCCUGCCACAGAAAUUCCAUUUAGCAACAAUCAUUCUCAUGGCCCUGGGCCUGGAGGGAGGUGGUGACAGGGUGGCCUGUGUCUGUGAUACUACUAAUAGAGGAAGAAGCCACUGGGUCAGUGCCCCGCCAACCAGCCUCCUCCCACACACGAGCUUCUGGAAAACAGAACAAAAACAGAUUCUGAGCACUAAGAAUCCUCAGGUGAAGGGGGAGCAGGGUCCUGCACUGAGGACCCUCCAGUCCCACGAGAAGACAUGGCUUAACCUUUUUGGAGCCUCCAGUACAAAUGUUAUAGACCUAGCUGUCUUUUAAAAGGGAGGAGUCAUGGAUCCUGGGGCACCAUGUUCUCACCGCCUCACCUACACAGACUAAGCAACUCAGGAGCAUGCUCUGUCUGUAAUGGACAGAGACGCAGAAGUGCUGUCUGUCAACAGGAGCUCGGGGAACAUCCCCACAGCCUGGCUCUGGGGCCAUCUCUCUCUUUCUUUCCCCAUCAUGAUGCCUGCCCAUGGGAAUGAAUCUGAGCCCCGAGCUCACUUGUGACCCAGGAAUGGCGACCUCUCGGUGGCCUCCCUUCUUCCCUCCAAAUAUGUUUCUGUUCCUUUUCCCCACUCCCGGUGACCCUCCCCCACCUGCUAUUUCCCAAGCUGGCCCUGGGAACAUCAUGCCAAUGGCCUACCAGUGGUCUUGUUUUACAUGAUACAUUUCCAAAAAAGACCAAAAAGUCCUUUCCAGGAAAAUGCCAUUUUAAAAAUUCAGUCCCAGACACCGUGGCAACAUAAGGAAAACAAAGGACUUGGCAGAAAGGUUGCUCUGAACUGGGACUUUCUCUCUAAAAUACCUUUUUCCAAACUGUGUGCAGUAGGAGCGGUGCCAGGGGUCAGUUCUGGAACACGCAAACAAUCCCAGACACCAACUGGUGCUGUCUACAUAGUUCCCUCUCCUUAGCUGGACUAUUCUGGGAUUCUUAGGUUUAAUCCAGAAAGCUUUCAAAGGGUCCCCAAAUGAAGAAGCAGCCACUGGAAGGUCAGGAAAUAGUUUCUACCUUCCUUGGGAAGGGACUCUUUGCUACCAUCACCAAGCUGAAGGCCAGCAGGUCAUACUAUGUUAGUAGAGAACUGCUCUGCUCAUUAUUCUAGUGAGAGGAGACGAGAUCACACCUGGAACAUGCAAUGAGGUCCUAGUUGCUCUUAGGUAGGCUCUAAGCAAUAUGACUUGUUCUCUUUAAGAAGAAAGG